This 340-nucleotide long non-coding RNA is filed under the name Brassica napus (rape). RNAcentral describes it as "long non-coding RNA (BNAP_LNC019969)". Lineage: Eukaryota; Viridiplantae; Streptophyta; Magnoliopsida; Brassicales; Brassicaceae. The record is from RNAcentral.
CAAAAAUCGGAAGCUACACGUUGAAUUAAAUUUGUAAACAUAAAUAUAAAACACUAAACAAUAUACUCUCGAAACAUAAAUCAAACACUAAAGCCAAUACACUAAAAACUAUACCCUAAAUACUAUAUCAUAUUCUAUACCAUAAACACUAAAGUAUAUACCCUAAACCCUAAAGUAUAUACCCAUAUAUAGAAAUUCUAACUAAACACUAAACUUAAAUCUAUUAUUAUAUCCUAAGAUAAUAAACCAAUAAAAUUAUACAUUUUCAUAUCGUGUAAUUUCUCACUAUAUAUCCGCAUACCUACAUCCCCUAAACCCUAAACUAAAAUCACUAUACUCA